GCAAGUCGAGCGCGCCCUUCGGGGUGAGCGGCGGACGGGUGAGUAACGCGUGGGAACGUGCCCUUUGCUGCGGAAUAGCCACUGGAAACGGUGAGUAAUACCGCAUGAGCCCUUCGGGGGAAAGAUUUAUCGGCAAAGGAUCGGCCCGCGUUGGAUUAGGUAGUUGGUGGGGUAAUGGCCUACCAAGCCGACGAUCCAUAGCUGGUUUUAGAGGAUGAUCAGCCACACUGGGACUGAGACACGGCCCAGACUCCUACGGGAGGCAGCAGUGGGGAAUCUUAGACAAUGGGCGCAAGCCUGAUCUAGCCAUGCCGCGUGAGUGACGAAGGCCCUAGGGUCGUAAAGCUCUUUCGCCUGUGAUGAUAAUGACAGUAGCAGGUAAAGAAACCCCGGCUAACUCCGUGCCAGCAGCCGCGGUAAUACGGAGGGGGUUAGCGUUGUUCGGAAUUACUGGGCGUAAAGCGCGCGUAGGCGGAUUGGAAAGUUGGGGGUGAAAUCCCGGGGCUCAACCCCGGAACUGCCUCCAAAACUUCCAGUCUGGAGUUCGAGAGAGGUGAGUGGAAUUCCGAGUGUAGAGGUGAAAUUCGUAGAUAUUCGGAGGAACACCAGUGGCGAAGGCGGCUCACUGGCUCGAUACUGACGCUGAGGUGCGAAAGUGUGGGGAGCAAACAGGAUUAGAUACCCUGGUAGUCCACACCGUAAACGAUGAAUGCCAGUCGUCGGCAAGCAUGCUUGUCGGUGACACACCUAACGGAUUAGGCAUUCCGCCUGGGGAGUACGGCCGCAAGGUUACAACUCAAAUGAAUUGACGGAA
RNAcentral lists this ribosomal RNA (814 nucleotides) under uncultured bacterium. Its description in RNAcentral is "bacterial SSU rRNA". It matches the Rfam family "Bacterial small subunit ribosomal RNA", at positions 57 to 918 of the family's 1533-position model. The record is from RNAcentral.